GGAAGGUGCAAGCGUUAAUCGGAAUUACUGGGCGUAAAGCGCGCGUAGGCGGCUAGAUAAGUCGGGUGUGAAAGCCCUGGGCUCAACCUGGGAACUGCAUUCGAUACUGUCUAGCUAGAGUGUGGUAGAGGGAGGCGGAAUUCCGCAUGUAGCGGUGAAAUGCGUAGAGAUGCGGAGGAACACCAAUGGCGAAGGCAGCCUUCUGGACCAACACUGACGCUGAGGCGCGAAAGCGUGGGGGGAGCAAACAGGAUUAGAUACCCUGGUAGUCCACGCCCGUAAACGAUGUCAACUAGCCGUUGGGAGCAUUUUGGCUCUUGGUGGCGCAGCUAACGCGAUAAGUUGACCGCCUGGGGAGUACGGUCGCAAGAUUA
This 374-nucleotide ribosomal RNA is filed under the name uncultured organism. Its description in RNAcentral is "partial 16S ribosomal RNA". It matches the Rfam family "Bacterial small subunit ribosomal RNA", at positions 527 to 896 of the family's 1533-position model. The record is from RNAcentral.